CUGACGUGGACAUCCAGAGGGUUCUUCUCUCUGGCUCUGUCCUGGUGGCGUACGGGAGCGUAGCUCUGGGCUCAGACGUACAAUCCCCUUCCACGACGUCGGAGAACAAGCUCCGUCCCCGGCCGUAGAGGCUGGUGAGGACGGGCGUCCUGCAUAUUCCUACACCUUCCCAGAGUCCUUUGGGGCAGUGACUGGGGAGUCAAACCAUGCAGUGCACAAGG
Cynoglossus semilaevis (tongue sole) is the source of this 221-nucleotide small nucleolar RNA. Its record names the gene SNORA73. It matches the Rfam family "Small nucleolar RNA SNORA73 family". Rfam says of the family: U17 (SNORA73A and SNORA73B) also known as E1 belongs to the H/ACA class of small nucleolar RNAs (snoRNAs). Vertebrate U17 is intron-encoded and ranges in length from 200-230 nucleotides, longer than most snoRNAs. It is one of the most abundant snoRNAs in human cells and is essential for the cleavage of pre-rRNA within the 5' external transcribed spacer (ETS). Lineage: Eukaryota; Metazoa; Chordata; Actinopteri; Pleuronectiformes; Cynoglossidae. The record is from Ensembl.